GUGAAUCAUCAAAUUUUUGAACGCAAAUUGCACUCUCUGGUAUUCCGGAGAGUAUACCUGUUUGAGAGUCAGUUUAAAUAAAGAUGGGUGGGGUUACUGCCUUUCGUGGUGACGCAGCGGAUAUGGGUCGUCUUGCGGGCGGUUAAGUGACCUAGAAAUGUGCAUGAUUUUUUUCGAACGUAUAUAAAUGAAUUUAUGUACGUUGGCGUUAUCGAAUACUAGAGUAGGUCAUCCUCAUGAAUGGCGCC
This 248-nucleotide unclassified non-coding RNA is filed under the name Glomus sp. RNAcentral describes it as "partial contains 5.8S ribosomal RNA and internal transcribed spacer 2". The stretch from base 1 to 71 matches the Rfam family "5.8S ribosomal RNA", at positions 84 to 154 of the family's 154-position model. Lineage: Eukaryota; Fungi; Glomeromycota; Glomeromycetes; Glomerales; Glomeraceae. The record is from RNAcentral.